RNAcentral lists this ribosomal RNA (383 nucleotides) under uncultured bacterium. RNAcentral's name for it is "bacterial SSU rRNA". It matches the Rfam family "Bacterial small subunit ribosomal RNA", at positions 28 to 413 of the family's 1533-position model. The record is from RNAcentral.
GACGAACGCUGGCGGCGUGCUUAACACAUGCAAGUCGAGCGGUAAGGCCCUUUCGGGGGUACACGAGCGGCGAACGGGUGAGUAACACGUGGGUGACCUGCCCUCAGCUCUGGGAUAAGCCUGGGAAACCGGGUCUAAUACCGGAUAUGACUCCAUGACGCAUGUUGUGGGGUGGAAAGCCUUGUGCGGCUGAGGAUGGGCCCGCGGCCUAUCAGCUUGUUGGUGGGGUGAUGGCCUACCAAGGCGACGACGGGUAGCCGGCCUGAGAGGGCGACCGGCCACACUGGGACUGAGACACGGCCCAGACUCCUACGGGAGGCAGCAGUGGGGAAUCUUGCGCAAUGGGCGAAAGCCUGACGCAGCGACGCCGCGUGAGGAUGACG